Molecule: unclassified non-coding RNA, 302 nt
Filed under: fungal sp.
Lineage: Eukaryota; Fungi
Description: partial internal transcribed spacer region
Rfam family: Eukaryotic small subunit ribosomal RNA (bases 1-46)
Source: RNAcentral
AAGUCGUAACAAGGUUUCCGUAGGUGAACCUGCGGAAGGAUCAUUAACAAAAAGGGCGUUUGGACAACUGUCCGGCGCUCUAGAGGUCGCACACGGUUGGCUCUGCAGCAUUGGGUGUAAAGACCUAGUUCGAUUCCGAUGUUGCAUCCUGCCGGUGUCCUACAAACCACAUCGUGCACCGUAUAUAUGCAUUUGCGUAAUUUUCUAUUUGUUUGUCUGAUGUUUACAUUCUCUGAUUUUGGCCUCGUUGCCGAAUGACUGAAAAUAAAAAACAACUUUUAACAAUGGAUCUCUUGGCUCUC